This 85-nucleotide transfer RNA is filed under the name Endomicrobiia bacterium. RNAcentral's name for it is "tRNA-Leu". It matches the Rfam family "tRNA". From Rfam's summary of the family: Transfer RNA (tRNA) molecules are approximately 80 nucleotides in length. Lineage: Bacteria; Pseudomonadati; Elusimicrobiota; Endomicrobiia. The record is from RNAcentral.
UGCUGGGGUGGCGGAACUGGCAUACGCGCACGUUUGAGGGGCGUGUCCUUGAUACGGAUGCGGGUUCAAAUCCCGCCCUCAGCAU